This 990-nucleotide ribosomal RNA is filed under the name Triticum aestivum (bread wheat). Its description in RNAcentral is "partial small subunit ribosomal RNA". Lineage: Eukaryota; Viridiplantae; Streptophyta; Magnoliopsida; Poales; Poaceae. The record is from RNAcentral.
AUGUCCAUCGCCAGCUCUUCUUCCUCCGCUGCCAUGGCUGCUCCCUCCCUCGCUGCUCUCGGCCACACCAUCACCGAGAAGCUCACACGCGACAAUUUUUUGGUGUGGAAGGCCCAGGUCCUCCCACACAUCCGCAUCGCUGGUCUGAUGGGCCACCUCGAUGGCACAACGGCAGAGCCCGUUGCCGUUCUGAUAGCGGAGACGGAGGUCUCCGGGAAGAAGGAGGUCACUUCGACCCCCAACCCUGCCCAUGGCGUUUGGGUCAUGCAGGACCAGCAGGUCCUUGCGUUUUUGCUUGCCUCCUUCUCACGGGAGGUACUUCUUCAGGUCCACGACAUCCCGACGGCCACUGGAGUCUGGACACCGAUCCUCGCCAUGUUCGCAUCGCAGUCCCGUGCGCGGGGUAUCCAGCUCCGCACGCAGCUCGUCAACACCAAAAAGGGCGGUCUGUCUGCCACCGCCUACUUCGCCAAGAUGAAGGGCCUCGCCGAUGAGAUGGCGGCGGCUGGGAAGCGCCUUGACGAAGACGACCUUGUCUCUCAUAUCCUCGGUGGGCUGGACUCGGAUUACAGUCCGUACGUCGCGGCCCUCUCUGCUCGCACGGACCAGACUAUCGGUCUCAGCGAGCUGUACGCUCCUACUCUCGGCGGAGGCGCGGCUGGACUCCCAGAACAGCACCCACUCCGGCUACUCCGUCAACCUCGCCUCCAAGGGGGGAAUCGUCCCCAGCCUGGUCGCUCCUCUGCUGGUAACAGCGGCGGAGGUGGAUCACGCCCAGAAGGCGGGAGUGGAGGCCCUCUCAAGUGCCAGAUCUGCAAGAAAGAUGGCCAUGGCGCAUGGAGCUGCGCCAAGCGCUUCGACAAGAGCUUCAACAACAACCAGAAGCGCUAUGGUGGAGGUGAUCGCCAUGGUGGAGGUGGCCGCCAAGGUGCAGGUGCUCGUUCUGUCAACACAGCUGCUACAACCUCCUAUGGCGUAGAUACCAAUUGA